This 301-nucleotide ribosomal RNA is filed under the name uncultured bacterium. RNAcentral describes it as "partial 16S ribosomal RNA". It matches the Rfam family "Bacterial small subunit ribosomal RNA", at positions 509 to 807 of the family's 1533-position model. The record is from RNAcentral.
CAGUCGCCGCGGUAAUACGUAGGGUGCAAGCGUUGUCCGGAAUUAUUGGGCGUAAAGAGCUCGUAGGCGGUUUGUCGCGUCUGCUGUGAAAACGCGAGGCUCAACCUCGCGCCUGCAGUGGGUACGGGCAGACUAGAGUGUGGUAGGGGAGAUUGGAAUUCCUGGUGUAGCGGUGGAAUGCGCAGAUAUCAGGAGGAACACCGAUGGCGAAGGCAGAUCUCUGGGCCAUUACUGACGCUGAGGAGCGAAAGCGUGGGGAGCGAACAGGAUUAGAUACCCCAGUAGUCCCUGUCUCUUAUAC